Molecule: long non-coding RNA, 461 nt
Organism: Phasianus colchicus (ring-necked pheasant)
Lineage: Eukaryota; Metazoa; Chordata; Aves; Galliformes; Phasianidae
Source: RefSeq, a predicted model, not a curated record
CUCGGCUCGGCUCCGAUCCCGGAUCCCGGCCCCGCUUCCCCUGCUUUCCGUUCCGCCCCCGCUCCCGCACUCCGUUUGAAUGUUUCAAACUCGCGACGCCCCCACCAAUCAGCGCGCAGUUCCGCUCUCGCCAACCAAUCGGACACCGCCGAGAGCGCGGCUGCUACAGAAACGGCGGGUGGGCCCGGAAGAGGCGGGACGACGCAUGCGUAGAAGAUCCCCGCCCCCCCUUCCCCGUCACAGUGAGCCUUUAAAGGGACAGCCCCGCCCCGCCCGCCCUCCCGCCAGCAGGCGUGGAAACGGGCAGGUGGGACGAAGGGCUUCAGCUCCUCCAGCCGCAGGUCCACCGAGUCCCUGCGGGAGAGCGGGCAGGAGGUAGGCCUGCAGCAAGGCGAGACACGCGCUGUGCUUCUGCUGGGGCCUGCGGUGCCCACAAGGCAGCUCUACCACCCCGUCCCUGC